This 255-nucleotide ribosomal RNA is filed under the name uncultured bacterium. Its description in RNAcentral is "partial 16S ribosomal RNA". It matches the Rfam family "Bacterial small subunit ribosomal RNA", at positions 524 to 776 of the family's 1533-position model. The record is from RNAcentral.
UACGGAGGGUGCAAACGUUGCUCGGAAUCAUUGGGCGUAAAGCGCACGUAGGCGGCCUGUUAAGUCGGGUGUGAAAUCCCUGGGCUCAACCCAGGAAGUGCAUUCGAAACUGGCAGGCUUGAAUAUGGAAGAGGGUCGCGGAAUUCCCCGGUGUAGAGGUGAAAUUUCGUAGAUAUCAAGAGGAACACCUGCGGCGAAGGCGGGUUGCUGGGCCGACACUGACGCUGAGGCGCGAAAGCUAGGGGAGCAAACGGG